Molecule: long non-coding RNA, 1279 nt
Organism: Varroa destructor (honeybee mite)
Lineage: Eukaryota; Metazoa; Arthropoda; Arachnida; Mesostigmata; Varroidae
Gene: osi
Source: RefSeq, a predicted model, not a curated record
AUUGAAGAUGAGCUAUCUAUGGAUAGCGUGAUAUCACAGUGGCCGGUGAUACAUCCAAACGUGUAUUCUGAUGACUAAUCGACGUUAAAGUUGACGAUACAAAUGUGACCCGAAGCUGUUCUUCUUUAAAGUCAUCGUUAUUGUUGUCCUAGCAGAAAUGUGAGAGCCCUCUGGAUUUAAGCGGCAGACGACACACCAGAGACUAAUAAUGUAGACUAUCAGUUUUUGAUAAUUCAGGCGUGCAACCGAAAUCUAUCUUUGGAGUAUAAUAAUAUUGGCUUGCACCACAUAGAAGGGUGCAUCGAGAACUAGUUUUUAGGGAUUGUAUUUUCAGAACAAGCAAACAAACAAGUGUAGUUAUUGGUUAGGUUAAAAAAAGGUGGAGAAGACGGCGUAACCCUCUUAAGAUAAUGUAUGUGCGUGUGUGUUGACUCAAGGGUUGGGGUCGCUGAACACAUAACCCAAUUCGAAACAACCGUUUGGACUAUUAGUCAUUAUCACUACUGAACAAACAUAUCGAGCACUUGCUUAUAACGAAGCAGCAAUAUCUUGUGUUAUUGCAAUUAGCGGUCUCUUGUUGUAUCGGGCCCGAGCGACACAUGUAAUUAAUACAAAAAAGACGGAAUAACAAUUUAAUAAUUUCUAUUGAAAUUAAUGCGAAGCCAACAGAUGAAGGUAUUUGCUAAUGUGUAUUCUAAUACUUACCCAAUAAAUAAAUUUGAGUUUGAAUAAUAACUAGAGUAGAAAUGCUGAUAAAAGCUAAACUAGACUAAAAUUGAAUAAUUGGGUAUUUGAAUGGUAUGAGUUGGUUUAGCUAGAGAAAAACCGCUUUUCCAAGCGCUUAUUUUUUUUUAUCAAGGUUCGUGAUUUCUCAACAAUGACGUUACUGAACGAUAACUGGAAAGAUACCUUAUUUGUUGCAGGAAGUUAUGUAAUUUGUGCCAGACAAUAGAAGUGACAAUUUAAGAUGGCGGAUGAUGAGAAUCAAUCUGAAGUGCUAUUUGUAUAUAGUUGUGUAUACCAAUGGAAAUAAAAAAGUAGUCGAUAGUGAUGAUUCAUACAGGGCUUGUAUUUGGAGUGUACUGAAUAUGAACGAUUUUGUAACAUCAUAGCAAGAUGGACGUUAUAGGGACCUUUUAAUUACAAUCGUACAGGCUGACCAGAUGAGAUAUGAUGCAGAACGGCUGAUAGUCUGAAUAAGCCCAUGCUAGUAUGAGAGACGCAAAGCGGGACAAAUGUUGUUACAAUAAAGUCAGAUUGCUUAUCAAACAUGUUGGUA